GACGAACGCUGGCGGCGUGCUUAACACAUGCAAGUCGAACGGAAAGGCCUGGAUGUGGUGGGGUGCUCGAGUGGCGAACGGGGGAGUAACACGUGAGUAACCUGCCCUUGACUUGGGGAGAACGUUAGGAAACUGGGGCUAAUACCGGAUAGGAGAUCUGGAUGCAUGGUGGGGGUUGGAAAGUUUCGGCGGUUGGGGAUGGACUCGCGGCGUAUCAGCUUGUUGGUGGGGUAGUGGCUUACCAAGGCUUUGACGGGUAGCCGGCCUGAGAGGGUGACCGGCCACAUUGGGACUGAGAUCCGACCCAGACUCCUACGGGAGGCAGCAGUGGGGCCUAUUGCACCAUGGGCGGAAGCCUGAUGCAUCCCCGCCGCGUGCGGGAUGACGGCCUUCGGGUUGUCAACCACUUUCGCCUGUGACGAAGCGUGAGUGACGGUAAUGGGUAAAGAAGCACCGGCUAACUACGUG
This 468-nucleotide ribosomal RNA is filed under the name uncultured bacterium. Its description in RNAcentral is "partial 16S ribosomal RNA". It matches the Rfam family "Bacterial small subunit ribosomal RNA", at positions 28 to 507 of the family's 1533-position model. The record is from RNAcentral.